GAUGAACGCUAGCGGGAGGCCUAACACAUGCAAGUCGAACGGGAUUGAGAGCUUGCUCUCAUGAGAGUGGCGCACGGGUGAGUAACGCGUAUGCAACCUACCUUUAACUGAGGGAUAGCCCAUAGAAAUGUGGAUUAAUACCUCAUAGUUCUUUUGUUCCGCAUGGGAUGAAAGAUAAAGCUCCGGCGGUUAAAGAUGGGCAUGCGUGACAUUAGCUAGUUGGUGAGGUAACGGCUCACCAAGGCUACGAUGUCUAGGGGUUCUGAGAGGAUGAUCCCCCACACUGGUACUGAGACACGGACCAGACUCCUACGGGAGGCAGCAGUGAGGAAUAUUGGUCAAUGGGCGCAAGCCUGAACCAGCCAUCCCGCGUGCAGGAUGACGGCCCUAUGGGUUGUAAACUGCUUUUUAUACACCAAGAAAAAUCUACCACGAGUGGGGACCCGACGGUAGUGGUAUGAAUAAGCAUCGGCUAACUCCGUGCC
Molecule: ribosomal RNA, 485 nt
Filed under: uncultured bacterium
Lineage: Bacteria
Description: bacterial SSU rRNA
Rfam family: Bacterial small subunit ribosomal RNA
Source: RNAcentral